UGGGGAAUUUUGCGCAAUGGGCGAAAGCCUGACGCAGCGACGCCGCGUGUGCGAUGAAGGCCUUUGGGUCGUAAAGCACUGUCGACCGGGACGAAAACUUACGGGCUAAUAUCCCGUAAGCUUGACGGUACUGGUAAAGGAAGCACCGGCUAACUCUGUGCCAGCAGCCGCGGUAAUACAGAGGGUGCAAACGUUGCUCGGAAUUAUUGGGCGUAAAGCGCGUGUAGGCGGUUUGUUAAGUCGGUUGUGAAAGCCCAUGGCUCAACCAUGGAAGUGCGUCCGAAACUGGCAAACUAGAGUCCCGACGAGGAUGGCGGAAUUCCCAGUGUAGAGGUGAAAUUCGUAGAUAUUGGGAGGAACACCGGUGGCGAAGGCGGCCAUCUGGGAGGGUACUGACGCUGAGACGCGAAAGCGUGGGGAGCAAACAGG
Molecule: ribosomal RNA, 429 nt
Filed under: uncultured bacterium
Lineage: Bacteria
Description: bacterial SSU rRNA
Rfam family: Bacterial small subunit ribosomal RNA
Source: RNAcentral